This 2196-nucleotide ribosomal RNA is filed under the name Caloplaca sp. HX-2006b. RNAcentral's name for it is "partial 18S ribosomal RNA". It matches the Rfam family "Eukaryotic small subunit ribosomal RNA", at positions 146 to 1778 of the family's 1831-position model. The record is from RNAcentral. Lineage: Eukaryota; Fungi; Ascomycota; Lecanoromycetes; Teloschistales; Teloschistaceae.
GCAACGUUGCGUCCUGUCGUUCUUGGUUUGCUAAUCGUGCUAGAGACCUCAACUUCGGAAGGGGUGUAUUUAUUAGAUAAAAAACCAAUGCCCUUCGGGGCUCCUUGGUGAUUCAUAAUAACUUAACGAAUCGCAUGGCCUUGCGCCGGCGAUGGUUCAUUCAAAUUUCUGCCCUAUCAACUUUCGAUGGUAGGAUAGUGGCCUACCAUGGUUUCUACGGGUAACGAGAAAUAAGGGUUCGAUUUCGGAGAGGGAGCCUGAGAAACGGCUACCACAUCCAAGGAAGGCAGCAGGCGCGCAAAUUACCCAAUCCCGACACGGGGAGGUAGCGACAAGAAAUACUGAUGCAGAGCUCUUUUGGGUUUUGCAAUUGGAAUGAGUACAAUUUAAAUCCCUUAACGAGGAACAAUUGGAGGGCAAGUCUGGUGCCAGCAGCCGCGGUAAUUCCAGCUCCAAUAGCGUAUAUUAAAGUUGUUGCAGUUAAAAAGCUCGUAGUUGAAACUUGGGCCUGGCUGGCCGGUCCGCCUCACCGCGUGCACUGGUCCGGCCGGGCUUUUCCUUCUGGGGAGCCGCAUGCCCUUCAUUGGGUGUGCCGGGGAACCAGGACUUUUACUUUGAAAAAAUUAGAGUGUUCAAAGCAGGCCUAUGCUCGAAUACAUUAGCAUGGAAUAAUAGAAUAGGACGUGUGGUUCUAUUUUGUUGGUUUCUAGGACCGCCGUAAUGAUUAAUAGGGAUAGUCGGGGGCAUCAGUAUUCAAUUGUCAGAGGUGAAAUUCUUGGAUUUAUUGAAGACUAACUACUGCGAAAGCAUUUGCCAAGGAUGUUUUCAUUAAUCAGUGAACGAAAGUUAGGGGAUCGAAGACGAUUAGACCUCAGUAUCCGGUCGUCUAUAGCCAGUUCUAGUUGGGGGCCCCAUCUCGGGGCCUCUGGCGACACCAUUCAACUGUAAUGGAGCCCGGGGGCGUUUGUUCGCCCCCGCAAUCCACAGCCAAGUCCCCCGGAGCCCGGGGGACGCAGUUUACAGACUGAAUAACGGUGGGCCACCUUCCAGGCGCGAAGGGGUUUCAGAGAUAGUCGGUCCGGGCGCGCGAGCCCCCGGAGACCACGCAGAUACCGUCGUAGUCUUAACCAUAAACUAUGCCGACUAGGGAUCGGACGGUGUUAUUAUUUUGACCCGUUCGGCACCUUACGAGAAAUCAAAGUUUUUGGGUUCUGGGGGGAGUAUGGUCGCAAGGCUGAAACUUAAAGACAUUGACGGAAGGGCACCACCAGGCGUGGAACCUGCGGCUUAAUUUGACUCAACACGGGGAAACUCACCGGGUCCGGACAAAAUAAGGAUUGACAGAUUGAGAGCUCUUUCUUGAUCUUUUGGUUGGUGGUGCAUGGCCGUUUUUAGUUGGUGGAGUGAUUUGUCUGCUUAAUUGCGAUAACGAACGAGACCUUAACCUGCUAAAUAGCCCGGUCAGCUUUGGCUGGCCGCCGGCUUCUUAGAGGGACUAUCGGCUCAAGCCGAUGGAAGUUUGAGGCAAAAACAGGUCUAGCAAAUUGCUGGCAAUUCUACACAGGCCUGUUUGUAACAACGUGCGCCCCUGCGGCAACACGUUCGUGGCUUGGCGGCAUAUCUUGUCGCUAAGUCAACACCGCUGGUACAGAGAAUGUGCUCUUCGAUGAAGGCGCUAAUUCUGUAGCGAAUCCUCUCUAGGGAUCGUUUCAACGCAUGCAAAGCGGUGGGCUCGUAAAAGAGUUUCAGGUACAUGCUGACUCUCCGCGAAAAGCGGAGCCAGUCCUGUUGCACAGGCAGCUCGAGGGCUGUUUGAUGUGGCAGGCCUGGUUAUGUUAGGGAAGUCCACCCCGGAAUCCUCACUGACAUAAAGAGAAAACGCUGUGAUGCCCUUAGAUGUUCCGGGCCGCACGCGCGUUACACUGACAGAGACAGCGAGUACAUCACCUUGGCCGAAAGGUCUGGGUAAUCUUGUUAAACUCUGUCGUGCUGGGGAUAGAGCAUUGCAAUUAUUGCUCUUCAACGAGGAAUGCCUAGUAAGCGCAAGUCAUCAGCUUGCGUUGAUUACGUCCCUGCCCUUUGUACACACCGCCCGUCGCUACUACCGAUUGAAUGGCUCAGUGAGGCCUUCGGACUGGCCCCAGGAGGUCGGCAACGACCACCCAGGGCAGUUAAAGUGAUCUGAAUGAUUUUAAG